RNAcentral lists this ribosomal RNA (253 nucleotides) under uncultured bacterium. RNAcentral describes it as "partial 16S ribosomal RNA". It matches the Rfam family "Bacterial small subunit ribosomal RNA", at positions 524 to 776 of the family's 1533-position model. The record is from RNAcentral.
UACGGAGGGUGCGAGCGUUGUCCGGAUUUAUUGGGCGUAAAGAGCGUGUAGGCGGCCAGGUAGGUCUGCUGUGAAAACUCGAGGCUCAACCUCGAGACGUCGGCGGAAACCAUCUGGCUAGAGUCCGGAAGAGGAGAGUGGAAUUCCUGGUGUAGCGGUGAAAUGCGCAGAUAUCAGGAAGAACACCCGUGGCGAAGGCGGCUCUCUGGGACGGUACUGACGCUGAGACGCGAAAGCGUGGGGAGCGAACAGG